UUUCGGCCAUAACUCCGUCCUCGGAUGUCGAAAUCAUGUGCCGUCGGUGGCGUUGGAAACUAGACAUUCCAGGCUUUAAUUUGAGAUAAAAUGCAUGUUCUGAUUCUUUGUGAGUGAGCUGAACCAAACGUUUUAAGAUCACUGUCCUGUUGCUCUGUUCAACUGGAAUGAAGUGAUAAGGCAGCAAAUUGAUGCCCGAUUUUGAAUUAGUUGAGUG
This 217-nucleotide long non-coding RNA is filed under the name Coffea arabica (coffee). RNAcentral's name for it is "long non-coding RNA (CARA_LNC007434)". Lineage: Eukaryota; Viridiplantae; Streptophyta; Magnoliopsida; Gentianales; Rubiaceae. The record is from RNAcentral.